UGCAUGUCUGAGUAUAAGCUUUCAAAUGGCGAGACUGCGAAUGGCUCAUUAAAACAGUUAUAGUUUAUUUGAUGUUCGUUGUCCUACAUGGAUAACCGUAGUAAUUCUAGAGCUAAUACAUGCGUUAAGACCCGACUUUCGCGGAAGGGUUGUGUUUAUUAGAUACAGAGCCAACCUGGUCCUCGACCAGAGUUUUUGGUGAUUCAUGAUAACCGAGCGAAUCGUAUGGCAUUGCCGACGAUGUAUCAUUCAAGUUUCUGACCUAUCAGCUUUCGAUGGUAGGGUAUUGGCCUACCAUGGCAUUGACGGGUAACGGAGAAUUAGGGUUCGAUUCCGGAGAGGGAGCCUGAGAAACGGCUACCACAUCUAAGGAAGGCAGCAGGCGCGCAAAUUACCCAAUCCUGAUACAGGGAGGUAGUGACAAGAAAUAACAAUACGAGGCAACUCUGUCUUGUAAUUGGAAUGAGUAAGGUUUAAAUCCUUUUACGAACUCAAUUGGAGGGCAAGUCUGGUGCCAGCAGCCGCGGUAAUUCCAGCUCCAAUAGCGUAUAUUAAAGUUGUUGCGGUUAAAAAGCUCGUAGUUGGAUUUCAGCCGAGGACGACCGGUCCUGCUUCUGUAGGAACCUGGUUUGGCCGAGGCAUUUCUUGGUGCACGUGUUGGCGCUUGAUCGCGCUACACGGACUCCAGGGCUUUUACUUUGAGGAAAUUAGAGUGUUUCAAGCAGGCAUCUGCCUUGAAUACAUUAGCAUGGAAUAAUAGGAUAGGACUGCGGUCCUAUUUUGUUGGUUUCUGGGACUGUAGUAAUGAUUAAUAGGGAUAGUCGGGGGCAUUCGUACUUAACAGUCAGAGGUGGAAUUCUUGGAUUUGUUAAAGACGAACUACUGCGAAAGCAUUUGCCAAGGAUGUUUUCAUUGAUCAAGAACGAAAGUUAGGGGAUCGAAGACGAUUAGAUACCGUCCUAGUC
This 965-nucleotide ribosomal RNA is filed under the name uncultured eukaryote. RNAcentral describes it as "SSU rRNA". It matches the Rfam family "Eukaryotic small subunit ribosomal RNA", at positions 52 to 1025 of the family's 1831-position model. The record is from RNAcentral.